RNAcentral lists this ribosomal RNA (530 nucleotides) under uncultured archaeon. RNAcentral's name for it is "bacterial SSU rRNA". It matches the Rfam family "Bacterial small subunit ribosomal RNA", at positions 509 to 1050 of the family's 1533-position model. The record is from RNAcentral.
CAGCAGCCGCGGUAAUACGUAGGUGGCGAGCGUUAUCCGGAAUUAUUGGGCGUAAAGGGUGCGUAGGCGGCAUGUUAAGUUUGUGGUGAAAGCGUGGGGCUCAACCCCAUUAAGCCACAGAUACUGGCAAGCUAGAGUGCAGAAGAGGGUAGUGGAAUUCCAUGUGUAGCGGUAAAAUGCGUAGAUAUAUGGAGGAACACCAGUGGCGAAGGCGGCUACCUGGUCUGUAACUGACGCUCAGGCACGAAAGCGUGGGGAGCAAAUAGGAUUAGAUACCCUAGUAGUCCACGCCGUAAACGUUGAAUACUAAGUGUUGGAGAAAUUCAGUGCUGCAGUUAACGCAAUAAGUAUUCCGCCUGUGGAGUAUGCACGCAAGUGUGAAACAUAAAGGAAUUGACGGGGGCCCGCACAAGCGGUGGAGUAUGUGGUUUAAUUCGAAGCAACGCGAAGAACCUUACCAGGCCUUGACAUCCCUUGCAAAAGCAUAGAGAUAUGCCAGAGGUUAUCAAGGUGACAGGAGGUGCAUGGCC